CAAUGUUAAUGUGAAGGUAUAUAUGAAAUUGUAAUAAGUGUAAAAUUAUUCUCAAAAUUAAAUGUUGAAAAACUUCUCUUGCUUUAUUUAUCAAAACUUAUUUUAGGAUGUUGCGAUUUUACUAAAAAUUAUUUUUGAAGAAAUUUACUAAUAAAUAAAAUUAAUUAUUAAUUUUUAAAAAUCAUUUUUAAGCUUUUAAGUAUAAUUCUAAACAGACCUCAAACAUCUCAAAAAAAAAAUGUAAAAAGUUACCUACGCUUCAAUACAUGUUUAAAUGAUGAUAUAAACUUCCACUAACUAAUAAAUGAUCAUUUUAGCUCCAUUUUAAUAAAUAUAUUCUUUGACUAUGACAAUCUAAAAUUGACUUUGAAGAAAAUUCUAUGAUACACAUAAUAACAGUAAAACACAAUUUAAAUGAUUCUAAUUCAUGCACUGAGUGCGCGUUAGAACAGUAAAACACAGUUUAAUUCGGCUACUCCAAUGACUGCAUUUUCAUUUUCAUUCUCAUUCGUUUAAAUAAUUACGUUAUUUGUGGUCACAUCACAUGGGGGACCCGUCAAUGAGACAAUGAAUACACAAGAUUCGUAACGGGGGGUGAAAUCUUCCAAAUGGCAGAGUUUGUGUGGUCUGGGACACACACAAGAUUUUUCUCGUCACCGACUCACCGCAAGUAUGGUCCUCCCGAAUUUUACUCAGCUUGGGGUUUAUGAUGGGACAAGUAUCUCAAAGUUCGUCAUCAGCACUUAGCACAGGUCAAAGUUUGACAUGAUCUUAUUAUUGGAUAUAAAUAAAAGAUGAAUAAAUAUAUAUGAUUCCUCACAUUUAAUAGGAUUAUUAAAUAGAUUGAGUCUAGGUUAAUAUCAUUUUUUCCAUGUCAGAUUAUGAUUAAAAUUUUUGACCCAUUUAUCUUAUAAAUGACACACAUAUAUUUUCUAUCCUAAAUUAAUUUGUAAUUUUUUAUCAUUGAAAUUUAAAUAUUAAACACGAUUCUCUUUUUAUUUUUUUAAUUUAUUUUGUAAGGAUAAACAUAUUCAUAGUGA
This 1040-nucleotide long non-coding RNA is filed under the name Citrus x clementina. Its description in RNAcentral is "Citrus clementina (C. clementina) long non-coding RNA (CCLE_LNC005699)". The record is from RNAcentral. Lineage: Eukaryota; Viridiplantae; Streptophyta; Magnoliopsida; Sapindales; Rutaceae.